AAGUCGUAACAAGGUUUCCGUAGGUGAACCUGCGGAAGGAUCAUUACAAGAAACGAGGCUACGUGCCCCGCUCUUUACCUUGCCUACUGCACUAUCUGUUGCUUCCUGGCGGCGGUUUGCCUGCCGCCAGGGACAUUGUAAAGCCCUGUAUAAGCAUUAAAAAACUGAAACAAACCGAAUCGUACAACUUUCAACAAUGGAUCUCUUGGUUCUG
RNAcentral lists this unclassified non-coding RNA (214 nucleotides) under fungal sp. RNAcentral's name for it is "partial internal transcribed spacer region". The stretch from base 1 to 46 matches the Rfam family "Eukaryotic small subunit ribosomal RNA", at positions 1786 to 1831 of the family's 1831-position model. Lineage: Eukaryota; Fungi. The record is from RNAcentral.